UUCCAAGGUAAUCCCAUCUCAAGAGGGCCAACUAGUGCCCUCCAACCCCCAACCCCCAACCCCCAGAAACAUAGCAACAUGGAAUAAAAUCUGGCAUGCCCAAGGUCUAUGAGAGUAAGGGGAUCUUUCCUUUUGACCUUUGACUGCCUAUAUAG
Molecule: small nucleolar RNA, 155 nt
Organism: Pteronotus mesoamericanus
Lineage: Eukaryota; Metazoa; Chordata; Mammalia; Chiroptera; Mormoopidae
Product: small nucleolar RNA SNORA67
Exons: 1
Source: RefSeq, a predicted model, not a curated record